This 94-nucleotide transfer RNA is filed under the name Mycobacterium kiyosense. RNAcentral describes it as "Mycobacterium sp. IWGMT90018-18076 tRNA-Gln". The record is from RNAcentral. Lineage: Bacteria; Bacillati; Actinomycetota; Actinomycetes; Mycobacteriales; Mycobacteriaceae. RNAcentral also lists the same sequence under 1 other name.
CGAGGUGGUCGCUUGCCGGCAGGCGCUCAGCUUCUGGCGUUGCCGUCGAGUGAUCGACGCCGAGGCCGGCCAGAUCGCACCCGACCACCUCGAC